Molecule: ribosomal RNA, 382 nt
Filed under: uncultured eukaryote
Lineage: Eukaryota
Description: SSU rRNA
Rfam family: Eukaryotic small subunit ribosomal RNA
Source: RNAcentral
CCAGCAGCUGCGGUAAUUCCAGCUCCAAUAGCGUAUAUUAAAGUUGUUGCAGUUAAAACGCUCGUAGUCUGAUGUAAUGGGGACUGGUGUGGGGAGCAGCAAUGCUCUUUGCUUCGGUCCUCAUCAACGGGACAGUAAUGUCCCAUUUUACUUUGAGGAAAUUAGAGUGUUCAAAGCAGGCGAUUGCUUGAAUACUGCAGCAUGGAAUAAUGGAAUAGGACUCGCGUCUUAUUUUGUUGGUUUGGAGAUGUGAGUAAUGAUGAAUAGGGACAGUUGGGGGCAUUGGUAUUCAGUAGUCAGAGGUGAAAUUCUUGGACCGUCUGAAGACUAACUACUGCGAAAGCAUUUGCCAAGAGUGUUUUCAUUAAUCAAGAACGAAAGU